ACAGGUUGGGAGGGGACAUUAGGCACAAUCCUGGAAUCCUGGGUUACACAGUGCUGAGAGCUCACGAAAGGGACAAAGAACUCACAUGGAAGGUUAAAGGAAAACAAAGUCAAGGGCGGCGUCCAGGGAGGCAAAUUAGCAGAUUCAAUGUGUUGACUCCAUGUGCCUGCUCUCCCCAUGGUGGUCCCCUCGGAGAAACAGCUGGGUAUGGGCCUCAGAGAGCUGUGUGCAGAUUCCUGCCCUGCCUCUUGGAGCAAAUUGCUCACCUGCUCUGAGCUCUAGGUCCCUCCCCAGUGCAAUGAGCAUGGCUGAAAAGGCUCAGAGCCUGGGGGCGAUGGGUGUGGCUGAUUAUAAGGAGACCAGGUCAUUCCAAACAGAAAAAAAAAAAAAUCAGUAUGGACAAGACUUUCAUGACUUUCCUGGACCAAAGAUAGAAAAAUCUGGACAAGAGUUCUUUGCUGAAGCCAGCCUGGACAAUGGCAGAAACGUCGUUUCUAAUGACAUCACCAUGAAGAGCACCAUCUGUGUGAAUACCAGGGUGGGGAUGCCACCAACCUCGGCUGUCCAGAGCCCCUGCACCGGAAGGAGAUACACCCUGGGAGAACGAAAAGGGCACACAGUUCCCAGGAAGUCCUAGAAAGUAGCAUGAGCAGCAGAGAAAACAUGGCAGAAGAAUCAUGUAUUUAAGUCAAAAUCUCACCCUGCUAGGAAGGUUUGUUCCUUGGAAGUCACGUCCAAUAGGGGAAGAAUUAGAAAGAACUAAAGCCAAAGUAUAAAGGAAACAAGGGAGAAGUGGUCCUGAAACCUGGCUCAGGCCACGUGACUGCCUUUUCAUUCACAGAAGUUCUUUGAGCAACCUAUAUUCUAGCCUUUUUGGUUGUGGAUUGACUCAAUUGCAAACACAUGCUGUAAUAACAGUGUAGACAAAAACAGGGCGAAACAACAAAUGAUUAUAAUUCCCAGAAUUAGUAACAGUUUUCUGCACCAAGUUCACCAAAAUACAAACCAGCUGAUUAAAUAAUCGGAGUAUUGAAUCUGAAAGGUUAGUUAUUUGAAUUUGUAUAUCCGUGAUUAAUUUCGUAAUGUUGUUCGAUUCAUCUGGGGUAUAGACACAACACUGAGUUUUUCUGACAGUACAAGUUCCUCCUUAGGCUGUAUUGAGUGUGUCUAAAGCCAUACUCUUCCGUAAUCUGGCAGUUCUCCUAAAAGCAACUUCAUUGUUUAGUGAAGACCUACCCAUGGAGCUAUUGCUCAGGGCCUUUUGUGUAUAACUGGCCAGGAUUUCUUCAUGACAAAUUAUAUUCUCAAUAGCUGAUUUAUGGUACAAAGAUGAAAGCUAAGUGAUGAUACCUAUGAAACACAGAAUGAACACAAUGAGAUUGUAAAUGAGGAAAAUUUGCAGAUUUUGACAGGGUAUGAACUACUUAACCUUGUGUUCAAGUAUAACCGAAAGAACACGGUCUUAACCAUCCUGGGGGUAAGCAUGGCCACAGGUUAGUACUACAUAGCCAAGACAUUCCAUUUGGAGCUAACCAGUAAAUACCUGCUCAUUGUGCCUGUUCACCAUCAUGCCAAUCAGUACUUUGUAAUGUAAUAGUGUGGAUAUGUCAUUCUUUGGAUAUCCAUCCCAUAUCUCCAGCACUGUUGGGUAUGGUAUCUUUGGUAUAAUUUAUCUGUUCACAAAACAAAGGGGCAAGCUGACUGAGAUGACCACAGCAGAGGGCAAGCCAGAUAAAACAGUCCCAAAUUUGCUUUAUACUAUCCUGAAAUCGAGUUGUCUUACCUCUCAAAUGAGGUAGUGUUGUUUCAUCCCUCUGUUGGGGCACCGUCGGUAUUAAAGAUAAUGCAUUAGUUCAUUUUUGCACUACUAUAAAUACUUGAAAGUGGGUCAUUUAUAAAGAAAAGAGGUUUAAUCAGCUCAUGGUUCUGCAGGCUGUACAGGAAGCAUGGCUGGGGAGGCCUCCAGAAACUUGCAAUCAUGGUGGAAGGAGAAGGGGAAGACGGGAUGGCUUACAUGGCCAGAGUAAAGGAAUAGAGAGAACGGGGAGGUGUCACACACUUAUGGACAAUCAGAUCUCAUGAGAACUCAUUCACUAUCAUGAGAACAGCAAGGGGGAAAUCUGCCCCCAUGAUCCCACAAGGCUCCUCCUCCAAUAGUGGGAAUCACAAUUCAACGUGAGACUUGGGUGGGGACACAAAUCCAAACCAUAUCAGGUAGCAAACUAGUUUCUUUUACUGAAAAGCUCUUCCCAUGCCCUUUACUCUGUAAAGUAUUAUUAAUAGGCCAGUGACAUACUGUGUCCUUAUUCAUACUAGUGUCAAGCAUCAAUUACCGUUUAGAGAAACAUGAAUGCAUUUCUGAUAUUGUACCCAAUCUUGUCCUUGGAGAGGAGAUACUCAUCAUGGAAUCUGGAAGGGGCCCACUACUGGAAGGGCCGUGAGACUCAUAUCAGCCCAUUUUUACAUUUAUGGAGAAAUAUGUGAGACUGGGUAAUUCAUAGAGAAAAGAGACUUAUUGCUUGGCUCAUGGUUCUGCAGGCUGUACAAGAUGCAUGGUGCCAGCAUUUGCUCAGCUUCUGGCAAGGCCUCGGGGAUCUUACAAUCAUGGCAGAACAGAAAGGGAGAGCUGGCAUAUCACAUGGCAUGAGGGGGAGCAAGAGAGAGGGGAAAGGUACCACAUUCUUUUAAACAAUGAGAUCUCCCAUGAACUCAGAGCAAGAAUUCAUGACUGUGAGGAGAAGCUAAGCCAUUCAUGCAGGACCCACCCCCAUGACAGAAACUCCUCCCACCAAGCCCCACCUCCAAUACUGGGGUUCACAUUUCAACAUGAGAUUUGGAGGUGACAAAAUAUCACCACACAUAAAUAAAAACUAUUCAAUAAUUAAUAAGUAAUUAAUUAAUUUAAUAAUUUUAUUUAUGUGUGGUGAUAUUUUGUCACCUCCAAAUCAAAAUAGAAAUUAUUUUAUUUUAACAAGAUUGGGAGGUACAUGCCACUGCACAUAAUAAAAUAAUUUAUUUUUAUAAUCAAAGAUAUCCCAUUUAGACCUUUUUAGUUUUAAAUCUUCAUAAGUUAAGUAAGAAUAUUUUUCUAGAUACUGACAGGAGAUGGUGCCAUAAUUAGUGUAUAUGAAUCAAACUGGAGUUUCUAAAGGUGGAUCGCUCAUCAAGAUGAAUGACUUAGCCUUAAAAGGAUGAUUGUCCAUAAUCUGAGUUCUGUUUCUCUCUCUGUUGUUUUUUUAAAGAUUCAUGAGGUGUAUGAGCAUGUUUGUUACACAGGUACAUUGCAUGCUGGGGUUUAGGCUUCCAUCUAACUCAUCACCCAAAUAGUGAACAUAGUAUCCAAUAGGUAAUUUUUACACCUUGCUUUCCUUUUUUACCCACUUACAAAGUCCCUAGUGUCUACUUAUUCCAUCUUUACGUCCAUGAGUAUCCAAUGUUUACCACCCACAUACAAGUGACAGCAUGCAGUAUUUGAUUUCCUGUUUCUGUAGUAAUUCACUUAGGAUAAUGGGCCUCCAGCAGCAUCCAUGUUGCUGCAAAGUACGUCCUUUCAGUCUUUUUGUUGGCCACAUAAUAUUCCAUAGUAUAUAUGUGCCACACUUCCUUUAUUCAAUUCUAAUGGGCACUUAGGUAGAUUCAUUGACUUUGCUGUUGUGAAUAGUGCCAUAAUAAACAUAUGAUUGCAGGUAUCUUUUCGAUAGAAAAAAAUAUUUUGCUUU
Molecule: long non-coding RNA, 3719 nt
Filed under: Callithrix jacchus (white-tufted-ear marmoset)
Lineage: Eukaryota; Metazoa; Chordata; Mammalia; Primates; Cebidae
Description: lncRNA (ENSCJAG00000080399.1)
Source: RNAcentral